Pangasianodon hypophthalmus (striped catfish) is the source of this 4505-nucleotide long non-coding RNA. RefSeq lists it as uncharacterized. Lineage: Eukaryota; Metazoa; Chordata; Actinopteri; Siluriformes; Pangasiidae. The record is from RefSeq and is a predicted model, not a curated record. The transcript has 2 exons.
AGUACAGUGUGGUGAUGUUCCUGGUCCAUAACAGUCCUAGCCUACUAAUGAGCUAAUAAGUUGAAGCAGGUGUAAUAGAGCAGGAGAAUCACUAAACUGUGCUGGACUCUGACCAUACCGGUCCACAGCUGGGUCCCUGCUCUGAACACAGAGGUAGGGAACAUGAAAAACAGACAUGCAGUGCCUCCCACCAUCACUGUUUUCCCUGCUAGUCACUUUAACACUGGCUCCAUAAAACUGGAGCAGAUCAGGAAUAGACCUCUACUACUACCCCCAACUUUAAAAGUUUGUCAUCCAGAAUCAGCAACCUAUGUACUCCUGUAUUUGUCCUGGAAUAAAAGAAAAGCUCCUGGACCACAGACACAUUAGUGCUCGAUCAAAGAUUAAGCCUCAUAUUAACAGAAGUGCUGCAUAAAUGGAAAUGCCGGUCAGUGGAGUUUCUAAGGUCGAUAACAUUAAUACUCCAUGUUUCUCUGAAAAGGUCAUUUUACAUCGUGCUAAAGCCUAUCACUGAUAGUUUAAACCUUGUUAAAAUAUGAAAUACGUGGUUUAAAUCUGAAAAUAAAAUAUAAUCCUGACUAUUGAGGAACGCUGAUAUCCGGAACGUGGUGGUUUAAACCAUGGCAUUCAGUGAUUUAGAUAACACGACCACAUCAAGCACCGUCCUGAUAUAAAGCUGCCUGAAUGUAAUGAAGCUCGCCUGCAGGACGCCAGGUUGUCCAACAGGGGGCGACAUAUGGAACAUCCGUUAUUUCCAGUUUGGAAAUUCAAAACAAAACCAGCCAGGCUAGUUCCCGACCUGCACCGCGGCAAAAAUAAGCGCUGACCGUUAAAAAAAUUAACAAAAAAAAUAUUAAAAAAUUCAUAAAGCGAAUAUCUGCGUACAAGAUGCCUGGUUUCGUAAAGACUAUCAAAAAUACAAGUCAGUGAGGCGUCGAAACCUAAAAAUUUGUAGAGGAAAUUUUUUAUUUAUUUUUUUUUCUCAGUGCCUCGUGUCAUCACAGUGUAGAGGUGCUGCGGUGAAGCCUUGGCGCCAUUUUCAAACUUCAGAGCCCGAGUGAAUGGAACUCUUGUUAUACACAAAAUUGUUAUUUUGCUCUUUUAAAUUUUUUAUCUUCUGAUCCUUCACCACUUUACACUUUGCAGUGAUUAUACUGACUCCGAGGACAAGAUUUAAAAAAAAAAAAAAAAAAGGUGCAGAAUUGACUUCAGAGGACGAUUGGUGUUCAGUGAGUUCCUUUUGGGAUUAUCAGCCACCUUCACCUCUCCUCUGUUGCUCAAGAGGGUGAAGAAAAAAGGCCGAGGGUAAGUUAGUUUCUUUUCUGUGUCUGCUUCAAAGCUUAACCAAAAUGGCCCCUGGUUUGAAUGGGUAAGAAAAAGUUAGGCCAGGGUGUGUGAGUGUGGGCUUGCGCUCUCUCUCUCUCUCUCUCUCUCUCUCUCUCUCUCUCUCUCUCUCUCUCACUUUCACUCCGCACCUUUUUGCAAUCUCUCCAUUUCUUAUUCUCUCUCUCUCUCUCUCUCUCUCUCUCUCUCUCUCUGUCUCUCUCUCUCUCUCUCUCUCUCUCUCUCUCGCCCCCUGAUCUCCCAUUUCUUGUGCUUUUUGUUGUUUGCUCUUUCUCUCGGUGAACAGCUGGCAGGAGUAGACAAAAAUGAAUGCCUUCUUCAGCUGUGCUGACGUGAUCAUUUGAUUGAGACUGCAAAUAGGCUGCUCUUUUAUCAGAUAUAACUUCGGCUUCAAUCUACAGUCUUUUAGUAAUGCUGUAACAUUGUUGUGUAAUUAGUUAACCUUUCAAAAGUAUUUUUUUAAAUACCACUUUUCUGUUUUAUACCUGAAACCAAUAAAUAAUGUCCUAAUAUUAAAAAAAAAUCCACUGAAGGUUUGAUGACACUAGGUUGUGGUUUAUUCACAAUAUUUUCAAGUUUUUUAAACACACUACAUUAUCUGCAAUGGCAAGUGUAAUUUCAGUCGUAUUUCAUCUGAUCCUUAGUCAUGAGUUUAGAAUAAAUUAAAACAAAUAUUUUAUGUGAGAAUUAUGAUUUUCCGCUUUAAUUAAAGCUCAGAGUUUAGAUGUGUCAAGUGUGUGUAUGUGUGUGUGUGUGAAUUCUUUGUGGUAGGGCCACCUUUUUUUUGCUAACAUUUUAUUUUAAUUUUAUAAUAGCACAGUCAUUCAAAUUUAUUGUCAUUGCAGUAAUUAAUUCUGAUUAUACAGUCACUCAAACACUUAUUAUUCAGAAGAUGAAUGUCUAUUAAUUUUGUCUCUGUUGAUUCACUGUCAAGGUCACACCUUUGGGAUUUUCUUGUAUAUUGAUUUUUUUUUUCUUUGCUCUGUUCUUCUUUUUGUACUUAGUCUUUACACCUCACCCUCUGUAGCACUUUCAAAGUGUGAAAAAAACAGUUAAUUUACAGUUAAUUAGUUUCCUUUUCCACAUUUCUAUAUGUCCUGUUAAAUACGUCUUAACUUCUUUUUUUUCAACAUGGAUUUAAAUCUUAGGACUUUUCCCUUCUGUGUAGUGUUUUGGUAUUUUGCAUUAUUUUGUACUUUUAAUAUUUCUUUCUUUAGUGAAGUCUAUUCAUUAAAUUAAAUUAUGUAUUUAAUUUUUCCCCCUUCUCCCUUGUUCAUGAGGUGACAGGAUCAGAUAUAAUUUCAUAAGGUAACAGUGUGAAUGGUACUAGAGAAAUAAAUUAAGAAAAUAAAUUAUGAUUAAAAUCAACAGUGGGCAAUAUCACAAAUUCAUGAUGCUUGAAGAGAUUUGUGCGAUACACAAUAUGUAUCAUGAUAUUUAGUUUUGCUAAUUGCCAGCAAAAGAGUAGUGUUCCAUUUAAUUAAAAAUGAUGAAAAACUGAGUUUGAUGAUAUUUAAUGUCUACAAAAAUAAAUGAAUCUGAAACAGAGAUAAAAUAUGAAAUUUGAAAAAUUACAUUUACAAUUGUAAAGAUUCCGUACAAAAUCAUCAAACAUCAAAUCAGCUGCUUCCAAUCGGAUUGUAAUUGGUAUUUAAUUACUAAUUAAAAAAAAAAAAAGGUUCUUUAAAAAUAGUAUAUCAUAAUACAUGUGCUCUCUCAGAAAAGUGCAUUGUGGUAUAUCACGAUUUCGAUAUUAUAGUGAAAUUGCCCAGCCCCAUUUAAAAUUGCAUCUAAAAACAUUUUUAGAUACUUGUUCUUCUAUUCUUAUUUUUUCCUUUAGUAGUCACUGUUUUGUAGUCUAACUUUUUAAUAGACAUUAUUUGUGGUGUUCUUGCUCUGCCUUUAACAGUCCACCAUUUUGUUUUUCAUUUUCAUCAUCCAGUCAGACUAUGCACUUUAAGACACUUGUUCAGUUUGAAAGGCUGUUAUUAGUGUGGCAUGAAAAUAUUCAGCCUUUUAUAUGAUCAUAUUUUAUAUGAUCUAGUGCAACACGAUUGGAAUUACCUAUUUCAUACUAAAUGCUUAUUAUUAUUUUUUUUCCCAGUAAAGCAGAUAUGUUUAAAACCCAGAAUUGUUUCUGUUCACCUCAUAGUUACAUUUCCCUACAGUGGAGCUCAUUUUGGUUUAGAUAUGGUUUAUGGUUUAGAUAAAGAAACAAAAAUAAACAGGGAUACUGAUUAAUAUAGGCUGCUCUUUCUUGAAAUAAGGUCUGCUUUUUACCGGAUGUGUUAAAGGAGUGUCAGCAUCUCCCUCGACCCUCAUGAGCAAGCCAGAGAGCUCUGUAGCAGCACAUCAUGGUUUGUAGGUUCCCAGGUUGAUUUCCAGAUCAUUGUGUGCUGUUACUGGGAACACUGGUGAUUCUGCAGCUAACAGCAUUUACAUAUUGUCCACCGCCUGCAUGGAUGCAUCACUGUGUGACUUUUCUUAAUAUUGGCCACAUUACAGUGGCUUGAUAUUCUAGGUAGUGCAGCGCAUUAUAGGAAUCAGACUGUUAUCACAUCGACCCUGAGUUGCACUGGCUUCUUGAACAUAGCAAAUUGUAUUUUGAUAAAUAACACAGGAUGAUUUAAUGAUUAUGAAACUUACUACACUGAUCACCUUUAAGCUUUCUCUAAAGGAAAAUAUAGUGUGUUUUAGAAAAUCUGUGAUGGAUGACUAGAUUUAUUCCAGUGAGCAUUUCCUUGUACACGUUUUACUAGAGUGGUACAAGGAACAAAUCCUUUGUGCAUCUCUCUCUUUCUGUUCCUUCUCCAGACCACACACUCAUGACGGCAGCUUUGUUUCUGUGUGCCUGACAUUAGCAGCACAUCAAUAUUGGCAGCUGCCCUCUCCCUGGGUUGCCAGUAUGUUUUGUGCUGCUCCCGUCAGACAGACACACUCUUCAUCUCUCUAGAACGCAGAUCAUCAGGACAAAUGCAUGUCCUUGAAGGCUGAUACGGGGUGUGUGAUAUUCACAUGUAUAUAGUCUCAAUAUUAUAAAUCAUGUAGAUACUUGUAAUUAAUAACUAAACAGACUUAAUGACUUCUGUUUGCAUUUGCACUUGUAAUAAAAAAAAGCUCAUUGUUUAAAUAGCAAGAAAUAAAAUCUAUUUAAAAGUUUA